RNAcentral lists this small nucleolar RNA (274 nucleotides) under Castor canadensis (American beaver). RNAcentral's name for it is "Small Cajal body specific RNA 6 (ENSCCNG00000018162.1)". Lineage: Eukaryota; Metazoa; Chordata; Mammalia; Rodentia; Castoridae. The record is from RNAcentral.
GGGCUUUCUUUAUCGGAAUAGUUUGAAUACAGAAUUAACACCUCUUUCACACAACCCAGCAGCCCUUCAUUUUUUUUUUCCCCUUAGCACAUUGAGUCAUGUGCUCAGGAUGGGAGAGCUGCUGAUAGUUUGGGAUUCUGUCAGUGUGUGUGUUCCAAGAGUGAGUGGUGGUUCACAUGUGACAAGUAACUGUCACAGCCAGGUAUGAAGAAGCUUGAGGAGUGGCAGGAAGGGUGUAAACAGUGUAUGAUCUCAAGUUUUUCAAUCUGAGACC